UACGAAGGAUCCUAGCGUUGCUCGGAAUCACUGGGCGUAAAGCGUUUGUAGGCGGCUCUAUAAGUCGGGUGUGAAAUCCCACGGCUCAACCGUGGAAGUGCAUUCGAAACUGCAGAGCUUGAAUAUGGUAGAGGAGAGUAGAAUUCCUGGUGUAGUGGUGAAAUACGUAGAUAUCAGGAGGAAUACCGGUGGCGAAGGCGGCUCUCUGGACCAAUAUUGACGCUGAGAAACGAAAGUGCGGGGAUCAAACAGG
This 253-nucleotide ribosomal RNA is filed under the name uncultured bacterium. RNAcentral's name for it is "partial 16S ribosomal RNA". It matches the Rfam family "Bacterial small subunit ribosomal RNA", at positions 524 to 776 of the family's 1533-position model. The record is from RNAcentral.